UUGAAUUUUAAUGAAGAGUUUGGUUGUAGCUGGCCCAUUCAUUUGGGCAUGUGCACACCUUCCUCUUUCAUCCCACACACACCUGUGAACCUGUGAGACAGAGAUGGGGAAUUUACUUGCUGCUUCUUGGAAUACAAAGGCAAUAGGUUAUUGGACCCCCCCUCUGUCUACUCAAUUAAUAUAAACUCAAUUUAUUUUAAAACGAAUGUAAUGGAUGUAACACAUCUCAUAC
This 232-nucleotide unclassified non-coding RNA is filed under the name soil metagenome. RNAcentral's name for it is "partial internal transcribed spacer 1". The record is from RNAcentral.